This 1182-nucleotide long non-coding RNA is filed under the name Vulpes vulpes (red fox). Its description in RNAcentral is "lncRNA (ENSVVUG00000012571.1)". The record is from RNAcentral. Lineage: Eukaryota; Metazoa; Chordata; Mammalia; Carnivora; Canidae.
CAGGGAUUGAGCAUCUGCCUUUGGCCCAGGGCGUGACCCCGGGGUCCCGGCAUCGAGUCCCGUGUUGGGCUCCCUGCGAAGAGCCUGCUUCUCCCUCUGCCUGUGUCUCUGCCUCUCUCUCUCUCUCUGUUUCUCAUGAAUAAAUAAAAUCUUAAAAAAAAAAAGAAUAAUCACAAUUUUUGCCACUGUCAGUACAACUCUGUUUUCAUUGCCUGGUAUUGAGAAAUGCUUUUAACUUCUUUUCAUGACCAUUUGGCCCACUGGUUAGUUUUACAGUUUGCUGCUCUGGGCAAUCUGGACAACUUACCAUUACUGCAGAUGCUUUUUGCUUUUCUCCCUUCAUACUUUUGUCUAUGUGGAAUAUCAUCUCCCAUCACCCCAAGACCAAAUUGAAUGCAUGAGUACGUGACAGACAAGUUCUUGUCAUGGGUCACAUUUCAUGCCCUAUUUACUGUCUAGAUGUGAAUUGGAAAUGAGAUUCUGAAGCCUUUAGUGGUUUGUUUUUUUAAGAUGUUAUUUAUUUAUUCAUGAGAGACACAGAGAGAGGCAGAGACCCAGGCAGAGGGAGAAGCAGGCUCCAUGCAGGGAGCCCGAUUCGGGACUCGAUCCCAGGACCCUGGGGUCAUGUCCUGAGCUGAAGGCAGAUGCUCAACCACUGAGCCGCCCUGGUGCCCCACCCUUAGUUUUGAGUUUACAUCACAAUUGGAAGGUAUGUAUGCUUAGGAUCAAUGUUACAGUGAACAUACAGAACUGAUGUGUGAUUUCUGAGUGAUUCCUGAUUUUUCACUCUGAGCAGAUGAGAAAUGAGGCACCCGUGUGACCUGGAAUGAGCUGAGGCAUGGUGAAGAGGUAUUGGGAGGAGGUGAGAGAAGGGUUUUUAUGGUCCAGAAUGAUUCCGUUGCCAGCAUCUUCUGAUAGAAGGAAUUAACUUUUCCAGGCAGUGCAAUCAUGCUAUUUAUUAAAAGAAGCAUUGGACAAUCCGAAUGGACUUCAGAGCUGUGUCCUGAGCCAUCUGGCCAACUCUCGGGCAAGAAACUUCUUUGUUCUUUAGAGACCAAGCUUUUUCCCCAAGCACUAACAGAAUUGAAAUGGAAGAAGUUGGAAUUACUCGUCUUUGGUGUUUUUCAAACAACAGCAGGUCAAUUAUCCCAGGCUACAGAGAUAUUUAUGAUGCCAUUCUAA